RNAcentral lists this ribosomal RNA (560 nucleotides) under uncultured bacterium. Its description in RNAcentral is "bacterial SSU rRNA". It matches the Rfam family "Bacterial small subunit ribosomal RNA", at positions 338 to 916 of the family's 1533-position model. The record is from RNAcentral.
CCUACGGGAGGCAGCAGUGGGGAAUAUUGGACAAUGGGCGCAAGCCUGAUCCAGCCAUGCCGCGUGGGUGAUGAAGGCCCUAGGGUUGUAAAGCCCUUUCGGCGGGGAAGAUAAUGACGGUACCCGCAGAAGAAGCCCCGGCUAACUUCGUGCCAGCAGCCGCGGUAAUACGAAGGGGGCUAGCGUUGCUCGGAAUCACUGGGCGUAAAGCGCACGUAGGCGGAUUGUUAAGUCAGGGGUGAAAUCCUGGAGCUCAACUCCAGAACUGCCUUUGAUACUGGCGAUCUUGAGUCCGGGAGAGGUGAGUGGAACUGCGAGUGUAGAGGUGAAAUUCGUAGAUAUUCGCAAGAACACCAGUGGCGAAGGCGGCUCACUGGCCCGGUACUGACGCUGAUGUGCGAAAGCGUGGGGAGCAAACAGGAUUAGAUACCCUGGUAGUCCACGCUGUAAACGAUGGAUGCUAGCCGUUGGGGAGCUUGCUCUUCAGUGGCGCCGCUAACGCAUUAAGCAUCCCGCCUGGGGAGUACGGUCGCAAGAUUAAAACUCAAAGGAAUUGACGG